RNAcentral lists this ribosomal RNA (480 nucleotides) under bacterium. RNAcentral describes it as "bacterial SSU rRNA". It matches the Rfam family "Bacterial small subunit ribosomal RNA", at positions 118 to 583 of the family's 1533-position model. The record is from RNAcentral.
UGGGUAACCUACCUAUAAGACUGGGAUAACUUCGGGAAACCGGAGCUAAUACCGGAUAAUAUUUCGAACCGCAUGGUUCGAUAGUGAAAGAUGGCUUUGCUAUCACUUAUAGAUGGACCUGCGCCGUAUUAGCUAGUUGGUAAGGUAACGGCUUACCAAGGCAACGAUACGUAGCCGACCUGAGAGGGUGAUCGGCCACACUGGAACUGAGACACGGUCCAGACUCCUACGGGAGGCAGCAGUAGGGAAUCUUCCGCAAUGGGCGAAAGCCUGACGGAGCAACGCCGCGUGAGUGAUGAAGGUCUUCGGAUCGUAAAACUCUGUUAUUAGGGAAGAACAAACGUGUAAGUAACUGUGCACGUCUUGACGGUACCUAAUCAGAAAGCCACGGCUAACUACGUGCCAGCAGCCGCGGGUAAUACGUAGGUGGCAAGCGGUAUCCGGAAUUAUUGGGCGUAAAGCGCGCGGUAGGCGGUUUUU